This 848-nucleotide ribosomal RNA is filed under the name uncultured bacterium. Its description in RNAcentral is "bacterial SSU rRNA". It matches the Rfam family "Bacterial small subunit ribosomal RNA", at positions 529 to 1378 of the family's 1533-position model. The record is from RNAcentral.
AGGGUGCAAGCGUUAUCGGAAUUACUGGGCGUAAAGCGCACGCAGGCGGUCUGUCAAGUCGGAUGUGAAAUCCCCGGGCUCAACCUGGGAACUGCAUUCGAAACUGGCAGGCUAGAGUCUUGUAGAGGGGGGUAGAAUUCCAGGUGUAGCGGUGAAAUGCGUAGAGAUCUGGAGGAAUACCGGUGGCGAAGGCGGCCCCCUGGACAAAGACUGACGCUCAGGUGCGAAAGCGUGGGGAGCAAACAGGAUUAGAUACCCUGGUAGUCCACGCCGUAAACGAUGUCGACUUGGAGGUUGUGCCCUUGAGGCGUGGCUUCCGGAGCUAACGCAUUAAGUCGACCGCCUGGGGAGUACGGCCGCAAGGUUAAAACUCAAAUGAAUUGACGGGGGCCCGCACAAGCGGUGGAGCAUGUGGUUUAAUUCGAUGCAACGCGAAAAACCUUACCUGGCCUUGACAUCCAGAGAACUUAGCAGAGAUGCUUUGGUGCCUUCGGGAACUCUGAGACAGGUGCUGCAUGGCUGUCGUCAGCUCGUGUUGUGAAAUGUUGGGUUAAGUCCCGCAACGAGCGCAACCCUUUUCCUUAUUUGCCAGCACUUCGGGUGGGAACUUUAAGGAUACUGCCAGUGACAAACUGGAGGAAGGCGGGGACGACGUCAAGUCAUCAUGGCCCUUACGACCAGGGCUACACACGUGCUACAAUGGUCGGUACAGAGGGUAGCCAAACCGCGAGGUGGAGCCAAUCCCAUAAAGCCGAUCUUAGUCCGGAUUGCAGUCUGCAACUCGACUGCAUGAAUCGGAAUCGCUAGUAAUCGUGGAUCAGCAUUGCCACGGUGGAUACAUUCCCGGG